AAAGCCACCCUACAGGGGGGAUGAGAACCACCGACCGGGGUUCGACAACCGGCGCAGCCAGUUGGACAGACGACGAGCUUGCGAGGAGACUGCCCGAAGGGCGAGCGCAGCGAGUCAAUCCCCCCCCCUCACCG
This 134-nucleotide small RNA is filed under the name Salmonella enterica. RNAcentral's name for it is "RtT sRNA". It matches the Rfam family "RtT RNA". From Rfam's summary of the family: This family represents a bacterial cis-regulatory element known as RtT RNA. The record is from RNAcentral. RNAcentral also lists the same sequence under 3 other names. Lineage: Bacteria; Pseudomonadati; Pseudomonadota; Gammaproteobacteria; Enterobacterales; Enterobacteriaceae.